Molecule: ribosomal RNA, 669 nt
Filed under: uncultured bacterium
Lineage: Bacteria
Description: bacterial SSU rRNA
Rfam family: Bacterial small subunit ribosomal RNA
Source: RNAcentral
UGACGUUGAGGGUCGGAAAAGCGUGGGGGAGCCAAACCAGGAAUUAGAUUCCCUGGUAUUUCACCCCCUCAACGAACGAUCACUAGGGUCGGGGGGGUAAAGAAACCAUUCGGUGCCGCAGCCAACGCAGUAAGUGAUCCUCCUGGGGGGGAACGUUCGCAAGAAUGAAACUCAAAGGAAUUGACGGGGACCCGCACAACCGGUGGAGCAUGUGGUUUAAUUUUAAGCAACGCGAAGAACCUUACCAGGCCUCGACAUCCCCCUGAAUGGGUGGUAAUGCAUCCAGCCCUUCGGGGCAGGGGAGACAGGUGGUGCAUGGUUGUCGUCAGCUCGUGUCGUGAGAUGUUAGGUUAAGUCCCGCAACGAGCGCAACCCCUAUCCUUAGUAGCCAGCGAGCAAGACGGGCACUCUAGGGAGAGUGCCAGGGAUAACCCGGAGGAAGGUGGGGAGGAGGUCAAAUCAUCAUGCCCCCUAUGGCCUGGGGUACACACGUGCUACAAUGGCGUAAACAAAGGGAAGGGAAGGGGUGAGGGUAAGCAAAACCCAAAAAUAACGUCCCAGUUCGGAUUGUAGUUUGCAACCCGACUACAUGAAGCUGGAAUCGCUAGUAAUCGCGGAUCAGAAUGCCGCGGUGAAUACGUUCCCGGGUCUUGUACACACCCCCCGUCA